Molecule: long non-coding RNA, 1560 nt
Organism: Cyclopterus lumpus (lumpfish)
Lineage: Eukaryota; Metazoa; Chordata; Actinopteri; Perciformes; Cyclopteridae
Exons: 3
Source: RefSeq, a predicted model, not a curated record
UGGGCCAGCGUGACUUUUGUCCAACAGAGAGCUAGCUAGCAGAACUCAGUAGUAGUAAGGUAUGGAGAGUUCAGGUUGAAACAUAUGUAAGUGGAGUUAUAACAUUUAUAGUGUUUUGCCUGGUGUAGUUUUUAUGUAGUUUUUUUAACACUCAAUGGCCGAAGGAGGAGGAGAAACGGACUUCUAAUUAAUCACACCAACUACGAACGCUCUUCCUGGCUGACAGCAUCGGAGAAGAGUUGCAAAUUGUAUUGCGUCAACUUUACGGACUCGCAUUUGCGGUGACAACUGCCACUUCUGAGCGGAUAUGUUCAGCCCUAAAACGUAUUAAAAACAUUUUCCAGAAACACAACCGGGGAGACUCGACUGUCAUCGAUGGCGUCCACGGCCAUCGAGAAGGACCUGUUACUGGAACUGAAGCACACCGAUAAACUGUACAACCGCGUCAUUGAACAGUUUGUUAACAGAGAGGAGGAAGGACUUUGUCUUUAAGUGAACAGCAUUUGGCCAGGGACAAAGGAAGAUGGAAGUGCAGAUGGCGGGCUGAAGGAGGCGAGGAUGAGCGGAAGGAAGUGAGUAGGUUGGUUAGUUAGUGUAAGUCAUGUUUAACUACAAACCCACCAGAGCCAGCGGAUCAUAUCAAAAAGUUGUGUUUUCAUCUCCGCCAUUGUUCCCUGUUGCUGGUGCGAAAUGCAUUCUCGGUAGGAAUUCAUGAAAUGAUCCGCUGGCUCUGAUCUGUGUUGUGGCUAAACAUGAAAUAUAUUUCGGUUUGGGUGGAUCUAACAAGCAAUGUGUGGUUUGAGAGUUUAAUAUUUGUGAGUGUGUGGGUGGUUUUCUUUUUUUCCGCUUCUGACGCUAAGGGACGCAGAAGAAGGGCGAGGACGAGCGGAAGGAGGCGAGAAUGAGAGGACGAGCGGAUGAAGCUUGUUCAUGUUGGAAACUUUUUCACUCUGCAAAGAAGACAAAGACUCUGCAAGGUUCUCCAGCCCUUAAAGGAGGUCGAGGUAAGUGAGAAUUGUUGCAGAAAUCUGCGUUCACUGGUGUUAAUGAUCCAUAGGACUUAUCAGGUGGAGACGGCACUAAUUUAGAGUUAAUAGCAUGAGAUAAACCUCUGAUUCCUGCUUUUAAAAUGUAUCCCAUCAGUUAACUCUUCAGACCGUGGUGGAAGAUGAACUUAGGUCUUUAGCAUAACUGUACAUCAGCUAGGGCUUUGGUAUAUUGAUCAAAAUAGACUUCAAUUCACAAAAAUUACAAAGAAAAACACAUUUUCUUGCAGAUAGUUUGGGAUUUUCUCUCAGGUUCAGACGGCGAGGGACGCGGAAGGAGAAGAUGAGGAGAGGGCGAGCGGGAGUUAGUGAGUGGUAGGUUAGUUAGUGGGUGGGUGGGUUUCUUUCUUCCCCGCUUCUGACGGUGAGGACGAGUGGAAAGAUGCGAGGACGAGAGGAAGAAGGUGAGUAUUCUAGGGCAGGAGUGUGUGGGUGGGUGGGUUGGUUAGUUAGUAAGUGGGUGGGUUUCUUUCUCUGGCGGAAAGGGACACAAAAGGAGCCGAGGACGAGCGGA